AUUAUACUCCAUAAAGUCAAAUUAAGGCAUCUUUUAUUGAUUAAAGCUCCGGCGGUUAGAGAUGGGCAUGCGUGUCAUUAGCUAGUUGGUGAGGUAACGGCUCACCAAUGCCACGAUGACUAGGGGGUCUGAGAGGAUGAUCCCCCACACUGGUACUGAGACACGGACCAGACUCCUACGGGAGGCAGCAGUGAGGAAUAUUGGGCAAUGGACGCAAGUCUGACCCAGCCAUGCCGCGUGCAGGAUGACUGCCCUAUGGGUUGUAAACUGCUUUUGUUUGGGAAGAAACCCCCGAUCGUGAUCGGGGCUGACGGUACCAUACGAAUAAGCAUCGGCUAACUCCGUGCCAGCAGCCGCGGUAAUACGGAGGAUGCAAGCGUUAUCCGGAUUCAUUGGGUUUAAAGGGUGCGCAGGCGGAAUAUUAAGUCAGUGGUGAAAUCCUGCAGCUUAACUGUAGAACUGCCAUUGAUACUGAUAUUCUUGAAUAUAGUUGAGGUGGGCGGAAUGUGUAAUGUAGCGGUGAAAUGCUUAGAUAUUACACAGAACACCAAUUGCGAAGGCAGCUCACUAAACUAAUAUUGACGCUGAGGCACGAAAGCGUGGGUAGCAAACAGGAUUAGAUACCCUGGUAGUCCACGCUGUAAACUAUGAUCACUCGCUGUUGGCAAUACAUCGUCAGCGGCUGAGCGAAAGCAUUAAGUGAUCCACCUGGGGGGUACGGUCGCAAGAUUGAAACUCAAAGGAAUUGACGGGGGCCCGCACAAGCGGAGGAACAUGUGGUUUAAUUCGAUGAUACGCGAGGAACCUUACCUGGGCUUAAAUGCAGAGCGACGUCCGCCGAAAGGUGGAUUCCUUCGGGCGAUCUGCAAGGUGCUGCAUGGUUGUCGUCAGCUCGUGCCGUGAGGUGUCGGGUUAAGUCCCAUAACGAGCGCAACCCUUAUCGUUAGUUGCCAGCGGGUAAUGCCGGGCACUCUAACGAAACUGCCGGUGUAAACCGUGAGGAAGGUGGGGAUGACGUCAAAUCAGCACGGCCCUUAUGUCCAGGGCUACACACGUGUUACAAUGGUCGGUACAGAGGGCAGCUAC
RNAcentral lists this ribosomal RNA (1086 nucleotides) under uncultured organism. RNAcentral describes it as "bacterial SSU rRNA". It matches the Rfam family "Bacterial small subunit ribosomal RNA", at positions 163 to 1253 of the family's 1533-position model. The record is from RNAcentral.